UGCCCAACCCGUGGAAAAGGCAUUUCACCUAGAACACUAGACAGGUCAUACUUUAGCUCCUUCCAUUUUGGGUACCUUUCAUUGAUAUCAAGCAGCCAGACAUCAUUAAGCACAUCAAAUUCUGAUCCUCUACCACCAAAAAGAACCAUGCGACUCCCACCAAUCCAAGUUAAAGUGUGGCCAGAACGAGAUAAAGGCAAAGGCUCAGUAUCCUCUAUUUGGUGCCAAAUGCCAGAUCGGAGGCCAUUAGAGAGAUCAAGAAGCCAUGUAUCCCCAAGCCGGCUUCCAGACUGCCCUAUGCCACCAUGAAUUACAAUAAACUUAUCAUCCACACAGCAGGCUGCAUGAGCUCCACGAGGAUAUGGUGCAUGUGGGCCUACCUCCAGCAGUCUCCAUGAGAUCUUCAUCCUGCGAGACUCUUCACAAAUGAUUUGACCUAUCCAUGUGUCAUUCAAACGCUGCCCCUGAUCAUUGAUUCCACCAAAAAGGACUAAUGCAUCUCCAACUAUAGAGCAUGAAUGACCGAAACGACCACUUGGAGUGCCAGAGUCUAAUUGCUGCCAGCUAAACACAGCAGAUGAUCUAUUCCCAGCUCCAUUUCCAACAUAUGCCACCCAAUUAAAAAAAAAGGGUUUAAUUACCUCCCUCGCAGCCGCCGCCGAAGAGGACGAGCCAGCCGGCGACGAGGUUGAGCGAGUGCGACGCCCGCGGCCGCGGCGAGGCGCCCUUGACGGGGACCCGGCGCGCGGACAGCGCGCCGAGCAGGGCGACCUCGGCGUAGAUCCUCCGCCACGGCACGCCGCCGCCGCCGCGGCGGCGGCGCUCGGCGAGCGCGGCGGUGGCCCGUGCCCCCCAGUCGCGGCGGCAGAGCGCCUCCCAGAGCGCGUCGGACGAGGCCCACGCGUGGAACGCGCGGCAGGCGGCGGCGAACGAGAGCACGGACUCCGCGGGGAGCAGGUGCAGGAUGGAGAGCACCUGGUCGCACCCCAGCCGCGCCACGGCCGCCUCCUCCUCCAUCACU
Molecule: small RNA, 1021 nt
Filed under: Oryza sativa Japonica Group (Japanese rice)
Lineage: Eukaryota; Viridiplantae; Streptophyta; Magnoliopsida; Poales; Poaceae
Description: sRNA Os08g0230350
Source: RNAcentral